Long non-coding RNA from Solanum verrucosum, 376 nucleotides. RefSeq lists it as uncharacterized. The record is from RefSeq and is a predicted model, not a curated record. The transcript is spliced from 3 exons. NCBI's taxonomy places the organism in Eukaryota, Viridiplantae, Streptophyta, Magnoliopsida, Solanales, Solanaceae.
GAAAAAUAAAAUAAAAGGGAGAAAUUAAAUGGCAAACGAAGAAAGUGAACUUUACUUUGUUUUCAUGAACUAUGAUCCUGAAUACGAGCGGCUUCGAUCCAAAAGGACAAAGAAGGGAAGCUAUGAGCUAGAUAUGUACAUAAGCAAUAAACAUGAUGAGCUGUUAGCAAAUACAUUUGAGGCAGGAACCUAUAACAAGAGAUUGUCUUUGGUUAUUGUUGAUGGAUUUGCUGUUGAAAUCACUCAACAUCAGGCCAAUGUGCUUAGAUCUGCAAAAGAAGUGAGGGUUGUGGAGAAAAAUCAAGAACUUGCUUAAUGGCUUGGAUGGUUAUUAUUAUUAUUAUUAUUGAGAAAUUUAAUAUAUAGAUUUAAAAAU